CGGGAGGCAGCAGCAAGGAAUCUUGCGCAAUGGGCGAAAGCUGAACGCAGCAACACCGCGUGGGGGAAGAAGGCCUUCGGGUUGUAAACCCUUUUCCUGGGGAAGAAUAAUGACGGUACCUGGGGAAUAAGCCUCGGCUAACUACGUGCCAGCAGCCGCGGUAAUACGUAGAAGGCUAGCGUUAUCCGGAUUUACUGGGCGUAAAGAGCGCGUAGGCGGUUCUUUAAGUCAGGUGUGAAAUCUCCCGGCUUAUCCGGGAGGGGUCAUCUGAUGCUGAAGGGCUAGAGGACAGUAGAGGGGAGUGGAAUUCCCGGUGUAGUGGUGAAAUGCGUAGAUAUCGGGAGGAACACCCGUGGCGAAGGCGGCUCCCUGGGCUGCACCUGACGCUGAGGCGCGAAASGUGNGGUAGCAAACAGGAUGAGAUACCCUGGUAGUCCACGCCCUAAACGAUGGACACUAGGUAGGGGGGGUAUCGACCCUCUCCGUGCCGGAGCUAACGCUUUAAGUGUCCCGCCUGGGGACUACGGCCACAAGGCUAAAACUCAAA
RNAcentral lists this ribosomal RNA (547 nucleotides) under uncultured bacterium. Its description in RNAcentral is "bacterial SSU rRNA". It matches the Rfam family "Bacterial small subunit ribosomal RNA", at positions 342 to 905 of the family's 1533-position model. The record is from RNAcentral.